This 577-nucleotide ribosomal RNA is filed under the name Enterobacterales bacterium. RNAcentral describes it as "bacterial SSU rRNA". It matches the Rfam family "Bacterial small subunit ribosomal RNA", at positions 823 to 1399 of the family's 1533-position model. The record is from RNAcentral. Lineage: Bacteria; Pseudomonadati; Pseudomonadota; Gammaproteobacteria; Enterobacterales.
GUUGUGCCCUUGAGGCGUGGCUUCCGGAGCUAACGCGUUAAGUCGACCGCCUGGGGAGUACGGCCGCAAGGUUAAAACUCAAAUGAAUUGACGGGGGCCCGCACAAGCGGUGGAGCAUGUGGUUUAAUUCGAUGCAACGCGAAGAACCUUACCUGGCCUUGACAUCCACGGAAUUCGGCAGAGAUGCCUUAGUGCCUUCGGGAACCGUGAGACAGGUGCUGCAUGGCUGUCGUCAGCUCGUGUUGUGAAAUGUUGGGUUAAGUCCCGCAACGAGCGCAACCCUUAUCCUUUGUUGCCAGCGAGUAAUGUCGGGAACUCAAAGGAGACUGCCGGUGACAAACCGGAGGAAGGUGGGGAUGACGUCAAGUCAUCAUGGCCCUUACGGCCAGGGCUACACACGUGCUACAAUGGCGCAUACAAAGAGAAGCGAACUCGCGAGAGCAAGCGGACCUCACAAAGUGCGUCGUAGUCCGGAUCGGAGUCUGCAACUCGACUCCGUGAAGUCGGAAUCGCUAGUAAUCGUAGAUCAGAAUGCUACGGUGAAUACGUUCCCGGGCCUUGCACUCACCGCCCGUCA